This 68-nucleotide transfer RNA is filed under the name Steromphala umbilicaris. RNAcentral's name for it is "tRNA-His". Lineage: Eukaryota; Metazoa; Mollusca; Gastropoda; Trochida; Trochidae. The record is from RNAcentral.
AUCAAGUUAGUUUAUAGAAAAUUUCAGGAUGUGGGCUUGGAGAAGAAAAUAGUUGAUUUCACUUGAUA